Molecule: ribosomal RNA, 570 nt
Filed under: Staphylococcus cohnii
Lineage: Bacteria; Bacillati; Bacillota; Bacilli; Caryophanales; Staphylococcaceae
Description: bacterial SSU rRNA
Rfam family: Bacterial small subunit ribosomal RNA
Source: RNAcentral
ACAAGCGGUGGAGCAUGUGGUUUAAUUCGAAGCAACGCGAAGAACCUUACCAAAUCUUGACAUCCUUUGACAACUCUAGAGAUAGAGUCUUCCCCUUCGGGGGACAAAGUGACAGGUGGUGCAUGGUUGUCGUCAGCUCGUGUCGUGAGAUGUUGGGUUAAGUCCCGCAACGAGCGCAACCCUUAAGCUUAGUUGCCAGCAUUAAGUUGGGCACUCUAAGUUGACUGCCGGUGACAAACCGGAGGAAGGUGGGGAUGACGUCAAAUCAUCAUGCCCCUUAUGAUUUGGGCUACACACGUGCUACAAUGGACAAUACAAAGGGCAGCUAAACCGCGAGGUCAUGCAAAUCCCAUAAAGUUGUUCUCAGUUCGGAUUGUAGUCUGCAACUCGACUACAUGAAGCUGGAAUCGCUAGUAAUCGUAGAUCAGCAUGCUACGGUGAAUACGUUCCCGGGUCUUGUACACACCGCCCGUCACACCACGAGAGUCUGUAACACCCGAAGCCGGUGGAGUAACCAUUUAUGGAGCUAGCCGUCGAAGGUGGGACAAAUGAUUGGGGUGAAGUCGUAAC